AUGCAUGUCCAAGUUCAACGAUGGAAAUCGUGAAACCGCGAAUGGCUCAUUAAAUCAGUUUUGGUUCAUUUGUAUAUUAGUCUCUAUAUGGACAACUGCGGUAACCCUGCAGCUAAUACAUGCUAAGUGCUAAUUUACGGAUUAGAACUUUUACAUGUUGAAUUUAUUCCCUGGCUUGGAAUUGUCUGCCAAGUAUGCGUAAUGAACUACUGUAACUGAAGGACCCCAAACGCCAUAGUGCUAGGGGCGAUGCAUUCGAAUAUCUGCCCUAUCAACUACUGACGGUAGUGUAACGGACUACCGUGGUUGUGACGGGUAACGGGGAAUCAGGGUUCGAUUCCGGAGAGGGAGCCUGAGAAACGGCUACCACAUCUAAGGACGGCAGCAGGCGCGCAAAUUACCCAAUCCCGGAACGGGGAGGUAGUGACGAAAAAUAACAAUAUGAGCCCUAAGGGGUUUCUAUUGUAAUGGAUGGAAUUUAACAAAUUCCAUGAGGAUCUAGUAGAGGGCAAGUCUGGUGCCAGCAGCCGCGGUAAUACCAGCCUCUACAAGCAUAUGCAAAUGUUGCUGCGUUUGAAAAGCUCAUAGUUGGAUCCGAUGAUGAUUGAUGUCAGAGGUACCUACCGGUUCGGCCGAGGUACCGGGCACACAUCUGUUUUUCCGUUUAGACUGUUUGCACUUAACUGUGUCGAAUAGUCGAGACGGAAAAUUUACCUUGAGUAAAUUAGAGUGUUCAAGGCAACCCUCGGGUUUGUGAACAAUAAAGCAUGGAAUAAUGGAGGAUGACCCGCUCUCUAUAUAGCAGGGUGCUGGAGAUGCGGUAAUGAUUGAAAGGAACAGUUGGGGGCAUUCGUAUUGCUACGUUAGAGGUGAAAUUCUUGGAUCGUGGCAGACGAAUACUGCA
This 904-nucleotide ribosomal RNA is filed under the name Faerlea glomerata. Its description in RNAcentral is "SSU rRNA". It matches the Rfam family "Eukaryotic small subunit ribosomal RNA", at positions 51 to 947 of the family's 1831-position model. The record is from RNAcentral. Lineage: Eukaryota; Metazoa; Xenacoelomorpha; Acoela; Isodiametridae.